RNAcentral lists this long non-coding RNA (293 nucleotides) under Setaria viridis. Its description in RNAcentral is "long non-coding RNA (SVIR_LNC002242)". The record is from RNAcentral. Lineage: Eukaryota; Viridiplantae; Streptophyta; Magnoliopsida; Poales; Poaceae.
UCCUUGUGUUGCCUGCCUUCAAGAAACUAAACUCUAGGACAUUAACGAGUUUUCUGCUAAGCUUUUCCUCCCCCCUUCGCUUGACACUUUCCACUUCAUUCUGUCACGGGCUCACGCGGUGGCAUCCUCACUGCAUGGAACAGCUCCACCUUCUUCCUACAGUCCUUCACUACUAGGCGCCACACCCUCACAACCGUGCUUUCCUCCACCACAUCUGACCACACCAUUACCAUCACAAAUGUCUACGCCCCUUCCGACCACCGUGACUCACUCGACUUCCUACUCAACCUAAU